CUCCCCUCAUUUGACACAACACUCAGAGAAACAUAGUCCAGGGCUCAAUCUGGCUUCCUGGGCAAUCUUACUCCGGUACUUGUCACCUGGUCCAUAACAUGAUCCCCCAAAUGGCAAGGGGUCCUUAAACACCUAUCGACACCCCGCACCAAAAUAAAAGUAUAUGUACCUACCUUUUCAAAGAAUGUGAAGGUAGAGAAAACAAGUGAAACAACAAAGAUGGAAAAAUAAAAUAUAAGAAUGAGACAGGCGGAGGACAUAUGCUAAACACAUAAAUUAGAAAGUAAGGUUGGCUGCCAGUCCUGCAUAUAUUGACUCUUGAGUUGCUCUCAGGACACAAUAAACUCACUCAAUAUAAAAGAUGCAAAUCUUUACUGAAAUUAUUACAUGAGAACAAUAAUAUGAAAUGUGUGUAAUGUAGAUGUGUACAGCUAGUGAAUACACAGAUAAUCCACAUAACUAUUUAUAAAAAAAAUAUAAACAUCAAUCAGAUUAUACACUACUAAAUAAGGAAAUUCACAUCUAAUGUACAACAUAUGGUUCUUAAGUAAAUCCAAGAAAAUACAAUUUGAAUAGGAGCAUAUACAGAGCAUAAAUCACACUGGAAAAUACAAUAUAUAAAUAAAUAAAUUCUAAAUAUAUAUCAUAAAGUAGAGAAAAAUUUAAAGAAAAAGAAUCACGCAGGGUCAAAAAAAUUCUUCUUUCCUCACAUUUCAGCAUGAAUGUCUUUUUCAAAAGAGGAUAGGAUUACGAUGGUUUAUACUGGAUUAAUAACACAGAUUAGAAAUAAAAAUCACAUUAGGUUGAUAGGUUGUCCACCAAAUAAGGAAUUCUUCUGGUUUCGCUUUCUUUGUUGUUUCGGAUACCAAACUCUCAAUUUGUCUUGUUUUCCUAUAGGCCAAUAUUGAUUUAUCUCCUCUCUGACUAUUGCAUUAUUGUAGCAUAUGUCAAUGUAUGUAAUUGAUAUGGUGUAUAUAGUUAAGAGCAUCGGAAGCAUACUAGUGAAACAUGGGGUCUAAUCUCAAUUACUGUGUCAAAGAAUUCCAAACAGGAGUCAAAAUAUCACCCAUAUUUUCCCAUUUGUACCUGUUUCACUGUAUACUUAUCCCAAGAUCAGGUUCUGGAUACACCCCUGGUUAAUCUACAGCACAGUUUUUCAAAAACAUGUUGUCCUUGACAUUAAUGAAUGCAUGUUAAAUAAAGACAAUGUGUAUGUUGAUUGUAUAUUUGUAAAUAUGCAUAUAAUGGUCUUUUAUUACUUAUAUAGCUUAAGUAUAUGACAUACUUGAAACUACUUUAUGAAGAGUGGCUUGAGUAUGCAAAGUAGGGGUGUUGGUAAAAAAGCCAAAUCUAUGCAUUUUGCAUUUAAGUGCAGAAUUUUGAUAGAUCCAAACUAUUUUGGGGUAAAAUCACUCUGGAUGUGGUCCUUCUGAAUCCACAAAUUUUUUACCCAGAAAAAUUGCUGCAUUUUACAGGAUCUGUGUUUUAAUUGAAAAUGUGUCCGAUCCAUACUUGUUUGGAGAAAUAACUGUCUCCUGAGCACAGGCUGAAUCCUGACUGCAGACUCGCUGAUCUAAACAUUCAAAUGAUCCAAGUAAACCUCCAGCCUGGGAUUGGAACUUGAAGAAGCCACAUUCGUAAUCGCAGCAACAAUAUGAUUACUACCUUCCAUAACCUUUCUUGGUGUCUCUUCCAGAUUACUUCAUCUGUUUACGGCCUUGAUUUAAUUUGUUUUUAUUUAUUAUAUUGGGGAAAAAAAUCAAAUAAUUUAUCUACAAAAAUUCCCAUAGAUUUUAUUGGUGAAUUCUGUAUAUAAAUUAAUUGAAAAGUUUUUUUUUUUUUGCUGUUUGUUUUUUUUUUUUUUUACAAGAAGAGAAUAAAUUCUGAUGCUGAAUCAAACAAAUUAAAUGUUAGCUAGAACAAUCCAACAGCAGAGCAGCCCAAACUUAAAAGACCCCACCUCCAUUUCCUCCAAAGAAAAAUGAACAACCAGCCAUAGUUAUCAAUGCAAUGUUUGCUUUUUUUUUUUUUAUCCACCAAAUUGCCGUGUCUUCUUAUUUUGGUGACUGAAUAAAGGGACAUAUUGAAUUGAUAAAUAUGGCUGGCUGUUCAUUUUAUGUUUGGAAGACAGGCAAAGACAGCUGUAGAUUGCAAACUGUUUUUUUUUUUUUUUUUUAGAAUUUAUACAGGAUAAAUUGUUUUUGCUGUAUAUACACAAUUUAGAGCAAUACAAAAGUGAGGGAGGUUCUGAAUUAUGCAAUAUUCUAAAAUGUAUUUUCAGUUGAGUGACGCAUUAUGGUCAAAUGAGCAUAAAAUGCAUUCCAUUAUUGCAGAUGAACAGAACAUCAGAGUGGCAUAAUGCAAUUUUACUAAACAACUCCUUGGUUCUAAACAGAACAAAUAAAACAACACAGAUUUUUCUUACCUUCGAAAGGCCCAUGGUACUAGCCUAUUUUUCAGCUACUAAUUUUCUGAUUUCGCUGUGAGUGAUACUUGCAGCCUGCAUUGCUAUGGACUAGAUUAACCACUCAUGGAUAUAGGAGACUUACAGUUACUUUAACUCCACUAACAGUUGUGAAACCCACCUCAUGCACAUUUGCUGCAUCCAUCCCUGGUUAAUCCCAGACUUUGAAAUAUUAGUGGCCGCACACUUUGGAAAUAAGAAUAUGAUUCUUUGCUACUAAAUGUCCUGGGUUGACAAUUUUGCUAUAUGCUUUCUAUAGAUUUGAAGGAUCACUGUGUAUUUAAGUGUAUUUUCUACUACUUUGUGCCAUUUAUACUGGCUUUUUACUGUUGUACUUCAACAACUGUUACAGGCUAUGGGUAAAAACAAAUCAAAAGCAAAGUUCUCCUUUGUGAAGAAUAGAAAUAUAGUGGAAUUGCUCAGGCAUUUUCAAUUUCAGAGGCCCAAAAGGGUAGCAACAAUGAGCUCACCGAGUUGUUGAAAGAUAGCAAUCUUAUCACCACAGAAAAACUCCAGGCAAAGAUGGAGAUUCAAUGCUUAUCUGGUACUGAUAUAGUAGUGCUAUGAGGUGACAAAGACAAUCUCUGGAGGUAUAAAGCAGGCAAUGUACUUAUCUCAAACACCACCAAGACCAAGUCUCACACCAAAUUGUAACUUGCCACAUGCACAUCACUAACCUCCAACUACAUGUUGGUAUAGUUAACAAUGCAAACAGACAAAGGAACAUUAAGGUGAGUGGUAGCUCACACUGUUACCAUGGAAUAACGUUCUUAAUUAUUCUAGAGAUUGUUCACCACCCUCUAGCUCCUAAACAAGGAAAAUGUAUUCAAUUAGAUGGAGUAUGCUCUUUUUAUUAAGUCAGCCAAGAUAGAGGUCAUAGUCUCAAGUUGGGAAAAAUCCUUAAGGACCAAACUUCUGGAAUAAAAGGGAAUCAUGAUAUGUCACACAUGUCAUGUGUCCUUAAGGGGUUAAACAUUUCAAUCUCACCACUUACAACUUUACUACAUCAUGGCACAAUCACUAUUGUGAGCUACAGAGAACCUGCUGAACAAUUGCUUUGCCUGUUUUUAGGUUUUUGUAUUUACUUUUUUCCCCUCAUUUCUUAGAUCUUUACAGGCUAUUAGCUUUUCCAAAUAUUUCUUGCUCCUUUGCUAUAGCAGUAAUUCUAACUCCCUCGUAUGGCCAAGGCAUAGAGGGCAUAUCAAUAACCAGACCUCCUAAUCUUAUUUAGGAAGUGCUGCUUCCUAGAGUUGUCCUGUGUUAUGUAAAUUAAGGUUAUAUUUCUUAAUAUUAUACCGGACCAUGCAGUAAUUGAUGAUAAGAGAGGCCUUAUAUAUCAUGGAGAUGGGCUUAGUAGCUCAGCCUUUAUACUGUUUACUAUGGUUAUUUAAAUUUAUAUACAUAUUAUGUAUAAUUAUAAAAUGUGCAAUACAUUGAUAAUGAUUAAUAUGUGUGUAUACACAUGUAUCUACAUUCCAAAAAUAGAAAGUUAAUAAAUAAAUCAACUGUUUUGAUAUAUUAAAUAACUAAAUCAGCUGUUUCGAUACAUGUACAGCAUACAUUUGCGAGCAAUCCUGUGAUUUCUUGAAACAUUCCAUUGACAUCAAUUCGCCAUUAAAAUAAAUAAAUGGGAUGAUGUAUAUCCCAGUUUCUCCAUCAUUGAUGUAAACUAUUUAUCUGAUUGUUUGAAAGCCAAACAGUGAGCGGUUGUAUCUGGGAGGGGUUAAUAGGAAAUUAACUUUUGUAUUCCUGCCAAGAUCUGUUGUCAGCUGAGUCUUUCAGUACACUCAGGAAAUGAUCUUAAAUUGCAUGGAGUAAAAUGUUAUAAUCUGAUUUCUGCUAAUAGCAGACAUGUCCAAACUCCAUACCGGAUUCAGUCUGCACUUCCAGAAAAUAAGUCAAUUGUUGCCCAUUAGCAGAGACAUGCACUUCUUAAGUCAUGUUGAAAAAGAAAAACAAAAAACGAUGCAAUAUCAAGCAGGACAAAGGGUUCACAAUUAUAAUUUAUGUCACAAGAAUUCCUUCCUGCUCAUAAUAUGAUGACAUUAACUUGUCAUUAUUUACCUACAAUGCAUUAUCAUAUUUUUGUUGUAAUAUUAAUGUGCUUAAUUGCAAUAAGCCCUACAAAUCCCAUUGUCCUGAGUUACAAGAAGCUGUCAGAUGAUUAUUUUUUAGCGGCUACAUAAUCCCUUCUUUGAUGUGCAGGUCAAUGGAACUCCAUUAGCUUGAGGCUUUAGUGCCUGGUAAUAAAAAAAAAAAAGAAAUUCUCUUUGCUUUUUCCUGCAAGGGGAAAUUGUACAAUUUAUGGCUCAGAUUGCAUGCAGACAGCCUACGCCCUGGAGAAAUUGAUGCUUUUCCCUAUUUUUUGUCUUUUUUUUUAAACUUGCUCUAUUUUGUAUAUGAAUUCAUAAAUUAUUAUUAUUGGUAUUUAUGUAGUGCCAACUAAUUCCGCAGCGCUUUACAAUAUUAUGAAAGGGGGGGAAUUUAUAAAUGAGAGAAUUACAGAGUGACACAGGAACAAUUGGUAGAUGAGGACCCUGCUAUAACGAGCUUACAGUCUAGAUGAUGUGGGGUACAAAUACACAACAGGGCAGCAAAGGUGACAGCCACCAAACAAGGUGGAAAAAUAGCAGAGCUGGAGGUGUGAGUGGAGUAUGAUGAGAGUCAGGAAGUAUUACUUUACUGAGAGGGUAGUGGAUGCAUGGAAUAGCCUUCCAGCUGAAGUGGUAGAGGUUAACACAGUAAAGGAGUUUAAGCAUGCGUGGGAUAGGCAUAAGGCUAUCCUAACUAUAAGAUAAGACUAGGGACUAAUGAAAGUAUUUAGAAAAUUGGGCAGACUAGAUGGGCCGAAUGGUUCUUAUCUGCAGUCACAUUCUAUGUUUCUAUGAUCAAGAGACAGAUUUGGAAAAGUAUAAAUAAGUUACUCUAGGACAUCUUAAAUAAUUGAAGAUUAGGGGAGAGUCUGAUGGGGAUAGGCAGGCUGUUCCAAAGGAAGGGAGCCGGACGCGAGCAGUAAGGGUGCAAGCAGCGGACAGGAGAAGGUCACCGGCAGAAUCAGGGAAGAAAUGUAACGGGCUAUAUUUGGUUAGAGCUUUAUAGGCAAGGGUUAGUAUUUUGAAUUGACACCUGUAGGACACAGGAAGCCAGUGUAAGGAUCGACAGAGGGGGUAUGUUUGGGAGGAGCGACGGGUGAGAGAGAUCAGCCUGGUGGCAGCAUUAAUUACCGAUUGUUGCAGAGCAGUUUGGCUUUUGGGGAACCACAGGCAACUGCAUAACAUAAUUGGUUUUCUGUAGUAACAAUGCCUUUCACAGUGCAAUGGAGAUCAUUUUGACAAUGACAAAAGGCUACUGAACUUGAUGAACGGAUCACCAAUAUAAUAUGGCACCAAAAAUAAGGUAGUCCAAAUUCACUCAUUUUCACAACAUAAUUAGAAUAGAGAUGGCCAUCGAUUCACAGCUCCAAUCUUACCCCGUAUUCCGUAGUAGAGUUUGCUGAUUAGCAGUUCCUCAAUUGAAAUCUCUGGAAAACUUGCUAUUUAGCAAACUCUUACUCUGCUAAAACGAUCUAGCCUACUGCUGGGAUUUUCAUGUUCUUCAUUUCCACCCGACAGUAUAGAAGCACGAGAUCUAACAGCAUAACUGAUGUAUUCCAAUGCAGCAUAUUUUUUUCAAUGAGCAACAUUUUUAGGGUAAUUUUUAACUUUUAAAAUAGUAAAAACUCAUGGCUCCUUUACAACCUUUUCAGUAAAUAGCAGUCGCAAAUGGUCGCUAUUAAGAACAGACAACAUUUAGUGGCAGUUGCUACUUAUCGACAGGUUUCGAGCCUUGUUGCUAUUUGCCAGCUUGCUGACAAUAAUAUCUGCUCAAAAGUUGCUGAUUGACCAGUUUUACUGGUAAAGCACAGAAGCACAUGCUGGGUAAAUUGUAACCACUGCAGCCACACCUUGCGAAUAAAGAAAACUCACCCUGAGCACGUGUGAUUGGCUUUAGCAGGAGAUAGCAACAGUGUAUACAAUGUAUUACAUUUAGAUUUUGUGCUUUGCCAGACACAAAAAUAUAUAUCUAGCAAGAUUAAUUUGUGCUAUGAGAAUUGUUACUUUAAAUGACACAUGCAUUUUACUUAUAUAAAGAAUUAUUAAUUUUUUUACGUAACUUGUCUGGUCUUUUCAUUUAAUUCUAUUUCUCUUUAAAAUUAGUUGAACAUGCUUUGAUAUGUACUUCAGAGUUUUAAUAUUGUGACAUACAGACAACAUGCAUUUUUCCUAAAGGAUCAGGCCAGACGUUGGAAAUAAUUUGGGAUUAGCAGAAACCGUUAAUGAAUAGCGAUAUGAUUGGAAACCCUAAAUAGGGUUACCAGCUCCCAUAGAAAGUAAUGGGCACUGUUAUUUGCUUAGUGAGUGGCAAUCAGUGUCAACCAGCUAUCGCCUUGUCACUACUUAAUAAAGCUACUAAUAGUAGUUAUAGGCACUUUAGUGAUAGCAGAUGGCAGGUAAAAAUAAGUGAUUAGAAUUGAUACAAAAAUCUGUGUCUAUAAACUAUGUCAGUGUUUUUAUCCAGAUAGUUGUUUCAAUUAAGGACACAUUUAUCUGCCUCAUCAAAGAAUGCCACCAUGACGUUUCUCUACUGACAUCUUACGAUUUCCGAUCUUACUUAUUUGUUUAAUCUUCCUUCCACUCAUUAACACACAAACCUGUAUCUAAUUUGUUUUAAUUUAAAGGGACACUACAGGGUCAGGAACAUAAACAUGUAUUCCUGACCCAAUAGGGUUAAAACCACCAUCUAGCCCAAUGCCCCCUCAUGCCUCCCUAAAUAUAGUAAAAUCUUAUUUGUAUUCAAGUCUGGAGCUGCUUACAUUGUCCCGGUUUCCUUUAGACCUGCCCACUGCCUGCUGACAUCAGCAGAAGUGGUAGCCUGAUCCAAUCACAAGCUUCUCCAUAGGAUUGGCUGAGACUGACAAAGAGGCAGAUCAGGGGCAGAGCACAAAUACAGCCCUGGCCAAUCAGCAUCUCCUCAUAGAGAUGAAUUGAAUCAAUUAAUCUCUAUGGGGAAAGUUCAGUGUCUGCAUGUAGAGGGAGGAGACACUGAAUGUUUGGAUGCAUUUUAGGCAGCCAUGACCCAGGAAGGAUCUCUAACAACCAUCUGAGGAGUGGCCAGUGAAGUUAUCACUAGGCUGUAAUGUAAACACUGCUUUUUCUCUGAAAAGACAAGUGUUUACAGCAAAAAGCCUGAAGGUAAUGAUCCUACUCACCAGAACAAAUUCAAUAAGCUGUAGUUGUUCUGAUGACUAUAGUGUCCCUUUAAUAUGAGAAAGGUACAUUUCACUUUAACAAAAAUGUUACUGUUGAAUUUAUUUUUUAACACAUCAUUUUUUUUAUUUACUGAACAGUAAAUGGCUGUAGAUUGAGGUUCUCUGAAUUCACGGAAAGCUGCUUCAAACCUAUCUGUUCAUCAAGAAAGAAGUUAACUUAUUUUCACAAAGUUAAGCUAUAUAAACAAGUUUAAACAACCAAGUCACAAAAAUUUAAUUUAGUUAUUGGUAUCUCAAGUCUUUUUUCUUUCUUCAUUUUAUAAAUACCGACCUUGCAAAGUAAAGCAUGCAUAAUGAGUUGCAUUCAUCAUAACGAUUUAAGUACAACUUGAAAUGUAAUCUACUGUUGGGUUUAAAUAUAUUAUACGUAGCUCGAGUACUGGAGACAUAAAUACAUUAAAUGUACAAGCUAACAAAAUAGUGUAAACGAAAUGUGGGACAAUAAACACUAGGUCAUGUUGUCAAUAUACAAAAAUAUUUACAAAAAAUAAGUUUUUACAACGAGGCCCUGUUUGGAUGUAUGGAAUCUGUAUAUGGACAUAACACAAAUGCAUUUCACAAAAAAAACAGGACAAGACAAAAUGUAAACAACACAGUAACAGCUGCUGCAAUUAACCUAACCUACAAAUCCUGGAUUGCAAAACUUAAGGCAUUUAGAAUUGUAUUCUAUGGAUUUAAAGCAAUAACUGAAAAAAAGCCAUGUGCAAAACUAGAUUAAUUUAGCAAUUAACAGUAAAAUGAUCAUCUACUCUGUUCUUCACCAUGGAAACCAACAACUCCACAGUAAAAAACAGUGUGCUUCACCAAAAACAAAUAUGGCUGUGGUGCUUCUGGGAACUUUACAACAGUUGGCUGAGUUUUGCUCAAGGGCCCGACUCCUGUUCCUGCUGAACUGAGCCAGUAUAUAAGACAGAACUGAUAUCAGUUCAGUAGGCACAAGAGGACUGGUCCAUCGCGUGUGUAAUACAACUGCAGGUCCAGCCUCAACAAGUAACGAACCACAGGCCAAAUGAUAACCACCAUGAAGUUAUGUAAAUUUACACCAUACUUGGAACAUGUUUUUUUCACAUUAAUAAUGUGCACAGGCUGUAUAGGUUCCAAAAGGAACAAUUAUAAAUUAUAUAAAACUAUGCAUUAGUGUCAAAUAAAGCAUUCAUGAAAGCUUUGAUCACAAGGUACAUAUUGCCAGAGAAUUAAAAUGAGCAGACUCUUCUGUUUGGUUAGGUUCCAGGAAGCAUUCCAUUUCGUCCUCUCUUCAGGUGCAGAACUUAGCCACUGUGAACAAAGAGGAAAUUAAUCACUGUUCACCAAUCAGCUAAGCUCUGCACCUUGGUAGAGAGGUCAACGUUAUUGGUCUUGUUAAGCGGUCAAUUGGAGGGUCUUUUUUUCCGAUGUUUCAUGGUCAGACAUCUUCAGGUCUUCUGUACAUAUUUAUAGUUUCCAUUCAGCCAGUUAUUCCAGAAGAGCGGCCAAGGACAUGGUUGUGUG
Molecule: long non-coding RNA, 9260 nt
Filed under: Pelobates cultripes (western spadefoot toad)
Lineage: Eukaryota; Metazoa; Chordata; Amphibia; Anura; Pelobatidae
Source: RNAcentral